UACGUAGGGUGCAAGCGUUGUCCGGAAUUAUUGGGCGUAAAGAGCUCGUAGGCGGUCUGUCGCGUCUGCUGUGAAAAUCCAGGGCUCAACCCUGGACCUGCAGUGGGUACGGGCAGACUAGAGUGCGGUAGGGGAGAUCGGAAUUCCUGGUGUAGCGGUGAAAUGCGCAGAUAUCAGGAGGAACACCGGUGGCGAAGGCGGAUCUCUGGAACGGUACUGACGCUGAGACGCGAAAGCGUGGGGAGCGAACAGG
This 253-nucleotide ribosomal RNA is filed under the name uncultured bacterium. Its description in RNAcentral is "partial 16S ribosomal RNA". It matches the Rfam family "Bacterial small subunit ribosomal RNA", at positions 524 to 776 of the family's 1533-position model. The record is from RNAcentral.